Molecule: ribosomal RNA, 541 nt
Filed under: bacterium AV-V-12
Lineage: Bacteria
Description: bacterial SSU rRNA
Rfam family: Bacterial small subunit ribosomal RNA
Source: RNAcentral
UCAAAGAUAUGCCUAGGUGGGAUUAGACUAGUUAGUGAGGUAAUGGCUCACCAAGGCGACGAUCCCUAGCUGGUCUGAGAGGAUGAUCAGCCACACUGGAACUGAGACACGGUCCAGACUCCUACGGGAGGCAGCAGUGGGGAAUAUUGCACAAUGGGCGAAAGCCUGAUGCAGCCAUGCCGCGUGUAUGAAGAAGGCCUUCGGGUUGUAAAGUACUUUCAGUUGUGAGGAAGGGUGUGUAGUUAAUAGCUGCACAUCUUGACGUUAGCAACAGAAGAAGCACCGGCUAACUCCGUGCCAGCAGCCGCGGUAAUACGGAGGGUGCGAGCGUUAAUCGGAAUUACUGGGCGUAAAGCGCAUGCAGGUGGUUCAUUAAGUCAGAUGUGAAAGCCCGGGGCUCAACCUCGGAACUGCAUUUGAAACUGGUGAACUAGAGUGCUGUAGAGGGGGGUAGAAUUUCAGGUGUAGCGGUGAAAUGCGUUUAUAUCUGAAGGAAUACCAGUGGCGAAGGCGGCCCCCUGGACAGACACUGACACUCAGA